AAUUCGUAACAAGGUUUCCGUAGGUGAACCUGCGGAAGGAUCAUUAAAAAGAAUUAUACACUUUGCAUUUGCGAACAAAAAAAUAAAUUUUUUUAUUCUAACAAACUAAAUCAAAACUUUCAACAACGGAUCUCUUGGUUCUC
RNAcentral lists this unclassified non-coding RNA (143 nucleotides) under Clavispora lusitaniae. RNAcentral describes it as "partial internal transcribed spacer region". The stretch from base 1 to 46 matches the Rfam family "Eukaryotic small subunit ribosomal RNA", at positions 1786 to 1831 of the family's 1831-position model. Lineage: Eukaryota; Fungi; Ascomycota; Pichiomycetes; Serinales; Metschnikowiaceae. The record is from RNAcentral.